This 802-nucleotide ribosomal RNA is filed under the name Escherichia coli. Its description in RNAcentral is "partial 23S ribosomal RNA". It matches the Rfam family "Bacterial large subunit ribosomal RNA", at positions 948 to 1751 of the family's 2925-position model. The record is from RNAcentral. Lineage: Bacteria; Pseudomonadati; Pseudomonadota; Gammaproteobacteria; Enterobacterales; Enterobacteriaceae.
UGCAAACUGCGAAUACCGGAGAAUGUUAUCACGGGAGACACACGGCGGGUGCUAACGUCCGUCGUGAAGAGGGAAACAACCCAGACCGCCAGCUAAGGUCCCAAAGUCAUGGUUAAGUGGGAAACGAUGUGGGAAGGCCCAGACAGCCAGGAUGUUGGCUUAGAAGCAGCCAUCAUUUAAAGAAAGCGUAAUAGCUCACUGGUCGAGUCGGCCUGCGCGGAAGAUGUAACGGGGCUAAACCAUGCACCGAAGCUGCGGCAGCGACACUAUGUGUUGUUGGGUAGGGGAGCGUUCUGUAAGCCUGUGAAGGUGUGCUGUGAGGCAUGCUGGAGGUAUCAGAAGUGCGAAUGCUGACAUAAGUAACGAUAAAGCGGGUGAAAAGCCCGCUCGCCGGAAGACCAAGGGUUCCUGUCCAACGUUAAUCGGGGCAGGGUGAGUCGACCCCUAAGGCGAGGCCGAAAGGCGUAGUCGAUGGGAAACAGGUUAAUAUUCCUGUACUUGGUGUUACUGCGAAGGGGGGACGGAGAAGGCUAUGUUGGCCGGGCGACGGUUGUCCCGGUUUAAGCGUGUAGGCUGGUUUUCCAGGCAAAUCCGGAAAAUCAAGGCUGAGGCGUGAUGACGAGGCACUACGGUGCUGAAGCAACAAAUGCCCUGCUUCCAGGAAAAGCCUCUAAGCAUCAGGUAACAUCAAAUCGUACCCCAAACCGACACAGGUGGUCAGGUAGAGAAUACCAAGGCGCUUGAGAGAACUCGGGUGAAGGAACUAGGCAAAAUGGUGCCGUAACUUCGGGAGAAGGCACGC